RNAcentral lists this ribosomal RNA (440 nucleotides) under uncultured bacterium. Its description in RNAcentral is "bacterial SSU rRNA". It matches the Rfam family "Bacterial small subunit ribosomal RNA", at positions 93 to 511 of the family's 1533-position model. The record is from RNAcentral.
GAGUGGCAAACGGGUGAGUAACGCGUGGGCGACCUACCUCAGAGUGGGGGAUAACCUUCCGAAAGGAGGGCUAAUACCGCAUGACAUACCGUGUUUGGAUACACGGAUAUCAAAGCCGGGGAUCGCAAGACCUGGCGCUUGGAGAGGGGCCCGCGUCCGAUUAGCUAGUUGGUGGGGUAACGGCCUACCAAGGCUCCGAUCGGUAUCCGGCCUGAGAGGGCGGACGGACACACUGGGACUGAGACACGGCCCAGACUCCUACGGGAGGCAGCAGUGGGGAAUUGUUCGCAAUGGGCGCAAGCCUGGCGACGCAACGCCGCGUGGAGGAUGAAGGAUUUCGGUCCGUAAACUCCUUUCGACCGAGAUGAACACCUCUUUACCUAACACGUUUAGAGGUUGACAGUAUCGANGGAAGCAGCCACGRCUAACUNCCGUGCCAG